This is a transfer RNA of 71 nucleotides. It matches the Rfam family "tRNA". From Rfam's summary of the family: Transfer RNA (tRNA) molecules are approximately 80 nucleotides in length. Their secondary structure includes four short double-helical elements and three loops (D, anti-codon, and T loops).
GGGCCUGUAGUCUAACGGCAGGACGUGGCGCUUACAACGCCGAGAACCAGGUUCAAUUCCUGGCAGGCCCA